The sequence is a ribosomal RNA, 1041 nucleotides long. It matches the Rfam family "Bacterial small subunit ribosomal RNA", at positions 51 to 1089 of the family's 1533-position model.
ACNNAUGCAGUNNANGNUAGCAGGAAGNAAGCUUGCUUUCUUUGCUGACGAGUGGCGGACGGGUGAGUAAUGCUUGGGAAUCUGGCUUAUGGAGGGGGAUAACUGCGGGAAACUGCAGCUAAUACCGCGUAAAGUCUUUGGACUAAAGGGGGCGUUUGCUCUUGCCAUAAGAUGAGCCCAAGUGGGAUUAGGUAGUUGGUGGGGUAAUGGCUCACCAAGCCGUCGAUCUCUAGCUGGUCUGAGAGGAUGACCAGCCACACCGGGACUGAGACACGGCCCGGACUCCUACGGGAGGCAGCAGUGGGGAAUAUUGCGCAAUGGGGGGAACCCUGACGCAGCCAUGCCGCGUGAAUGAAGAAGGCCUUCGGGUUGUAAAGUUCUUUCGGUGAUGAGGAAGGCAGUUUGGUUAAUAGCCAAGCUGAUUGACGUUAGUCACAGAAGAAGCACCGGCUAACUCCGUGCCAGCAGCCGCGGUAAUACGGAGGGUGCGAGCGUUAAUCGGAAUAACUGGGCGUAAAGGGCACGCAGGCGGAUUUUUAAGUGAGGUGUGAAAGCCCCGGGCUUAACCUGGGAAUUGCAUUUCAGACUGGGAAUCUAGAGUACUUUAGGGAGGGGUAGAAUUCCACGUGUAGCGGUGAAAUGCGUAGAGAUGUGGAGGAAUACCGAAGGCGAAGGCAGCCCCUUGGGAAUGUACUGACGCUCAUGUGCGAAAGCGUGGGGAGCAAACAGGAUUAGAUACCCUGGUAGUCCACGCUGUAAACGCUGUCGAUUUGGGGGUUGGGGUUUAACUCUGGCGCCCGUAGCUAACGUGAUAAAUCGACCGUCUGGGGAGUACGGCCGCAAGGUUAAAACUCAAAUGAAUUGACGGGGGCCCGCACAAGCGGUGGAGCAUGUGGUUUAAUUCGAUGCAACGCGAAGAACCUUACCUACUCUUGACAUCCAGAGAAUCCUGUAGAGAUACGGGAGUGCCUUAGGGAGCUUUGAGACAGGUGCUGCAUGGCUGUCGUCAGCUCGUGUUGUGAAAUGUUGGGUUAAGUCCCG